RNAcentral lists this long non-coding RNA (3237 nucleotides) under Mus pahari (shrew mouse). Its description in RNAcentral is "lncRNA (MGP_PahariEiJ_G0006096.1)". Lineage: Eukaryota; Metazoa; Chordata; Mammalia; Rodentia; Muridae. The record is from RNAcentral.
CCCUUCCCUUCUCUCACAGCAGCAGGAGGCUGCUCCAGGAGAACUGUCUGCAGGAACGGAAUCGCCUUGUUGCUUUCUCUCUCAGAUAAAAUGUAUAGUACACAAUUAAAAAUGAUAUAAUACACGAGGAAAUAAAAUACGGAGAGACAGCAGAAGCUGAAGACUGUCCAGACACAUAGAUGGUACAGAUGCUGGAACUCUGCCAGUCAGCAGCAGAGGGGAUACUGAGUAAAGGUCAGACAGCAAGAGAGUGAGGCCGAAUCCAGAGCUGGAGACACAGAAAGACAACAAUGACGAGCUGUGGCUUGGUGGACAUGGAUGUUGACGUGUGAUCUUCAUCUUCAUCACCCUCAUGUCAACCAGAAGAGAGAAGUGUGCACAGAAGGAAGUGCAGGAUGUCAGAGGCAUAAAAGUAAAGACAGAGUCAGGGAAGGAGAGUGGAGUUUAAACGAUGUAGGGACAUUGCAUUAGCUAGGAUAAGAUUAUUAACAUCAAAUUUUGAUACAGGUCCACAAAUAUUGUAAUUUCAAGGGUAAUUAUUGAAUGAGUCACAAAUGCUUAUAAUAGAAGGGAAAUGAAUAAUUGAAAUAAAAGCAAUUAAGUAUAAUUAAGUGUAGAGAGAAAAUGGAGAGAAAAAAAGCAUAAAAAGCAUAAAAAAGCACUUGUCAGACAUACAUGUGCAUGUGUCAAAUUCUGUCAGUGUAACUGAAGUAGAUAUUGUGGUUGAAGUGAUCAGACUACGCUAAGAAGAAACUUUACUCUCUUUAUGAGAUGCAGUCAUAUAUAAGGAUUUAGAAAGAAAAUGAGGAAAAUGUUUGGAAAAAUUACUUUAAAAGCUAAAGCUGAAAGUGAAAGCUAAGGUAGCUAUAUUAAUAUUGGAUAAAAUAUACUUUAAGAUGAAAAGCAUCAGUGUAAAUAAUAUAUAGAUUAUGACAAGAGAAUACCGCAGCAGGAAGCUAGGGUGUUUCUAAGCUUCUUCACUAAAUAUCAUAUCAGAAUGUGUAUCAUGGAGAUUAUGAAAACCUCAGGGCUCAGUAGACAAAGUUACCAGUAUUAAGGAUGCCUUUACUGCAUGCCUAUCAGAGGAGGGAGCAAUCAGACAAAAAUCAGCAAGAAUUCAAAGCUGAAGAACACACCACUCAAACUUGCCCUAAAGGUUCCCAGAGAACAAAUUCUUACAAGCGUGGAACUGAUUAUUCUCAAGUGCAUAUACAAUACUCAUAAACAUUUAUCCUAUACACGGCGAGAAAGAAAACCUGACAUUCCAAGGAACUAUAUUUAUAUAGUGUAUGAUUGCAAUGUAAUUUUGCUACAAAUAAAUAAAAAUUAGCUUAUAAUUGAAAAGUAAAAAAUAAACAUCUAAAUUACUGAUGAGAUGAAUAAAAAUUACAAUUUACAAGACAGAAUGUAUAUUGAUGAAAAUACUACUUAUGAUUAGAGCAGUGUUGUAUUGGUUAAGUUUACAUUGCUUUGAGUAGCUCUCUUCCUGGAUCCCAGUGUCCCUUUGUUCAAGUCCCACCAGGGUAGACUGGUCUUGAAAUGAACGUGGCAAUGGAUCCUGGACCACAGGCCACGGUGCGCUUAAUCUUCACACUGCUUUUAGUCAGAGGUUACCAUAGUACAUUGAAGGGACCGGCAUCUGGUAUAGGCUCAGGACUCCCCAAGACCACGUUCCCAGCACAAAGAUGUAUUUGCCUCAGAAGGACAAAAGGCAGGGAAUAAGAGACAAAGACAGGAGUUAGAGGAUGAUGGAGAAGGGGAAGGGAGCACGGUAUUUGUGCCCCCACAGUGGCAAGGGGGACAAAGGACUGCCUCUGGAUAGAGAGGAGACAGAUGAGGCCCAUAGGAAAUGGAGGUUUGAUAAGGCAAAAAGGGGAACCCUGUGUUAGGACGAGGCAUUUAAUUUUGAUUUGGCUUGUUAAUUAGUGCUGCAAAAAGGGCUGUUUGAUUGCUGGACUUGAAUACUUUGAUAGUUGGACCUUGGCAGUCAGCCUCCGGAGGAAGUGGCCGAAUAAGUAAUAGACCUUAGUGCUGAGCUUUAGGAAUGUAAUUCAAUGGUUUUUAGCAAGAGGGGAAUAGAGAAGGGCAAGGCCUGCCAGAGCCAUGCUUGCCACACUCAGGCACGCUAGAAUCCUUUCAUAAUUAGUCAUAAUUACCCCAUUACCUUCAAGAAGGAUCUUCUGAGAACCCCAUGCUGUGUGCACGCUUAUCCCAGAAGGUAUCAUCUGUGGGCUGUAAGAAGAGACCAAGUGCACUCAGGUAGGGGAAAUGUCAAGCUAUGGAGACAUCUCAAAAGGAAAAAAGGGAGAGGCACACAGGAAAGGGGGUUUGGGAGAGCUGAUCGAGUCUCCCAUCUGACUGUGAGCAGUGAAUGAUCUUGGUGCUGCCAGCCAUCUUUGACUAUCUUCCGUCCUGCAAUCACAAGCAUUUUAUCUUCAUGCUGGGUUACUCUUCUAUGUCCUGCCUCCAAAGGCUUGCUUGUAUAUAUUUUCCUGGGGAGCUGGGUAGGAUGGUAUGCUGGUUAAACUUGAUUAUAAGUUUGAUGGACUGGAGAAUCACCUAGGAGACACACCCAGAGGUGUGUGAAGGGCUUUAAAGAGAGGUUGACUAAGAAGGGAGGAACCACCGUGAAUUCGAGCACAGUCCAUGGGCUAGGAUCCCAGACUGCAUGAAAAGGAGAAAGCAAGUUGGGUACAACAUUAAUCUGUUUCAUGAAUGUGGAGGCUCUAGCAGGCCUGGACAUGGCACACAUGGCUCUGGCAGGCCUCGCUCUUCUCCCCAGUUCCUUCUGCCUUGCUAAGACCCAUUAGAUUAUAUUCUUAAAGCUAGCCAUCAAGAUCUAGUCCUUAGGAUCUAGUUAGGAUGAGGUGUUUAAUUGGAUAUGUUAAUUUGGUGAGCCAAAUGGGGGCUUUUGAUUGCUGGACUUCAAUACUCUGAUAGCUGAACCUUGGUAGUCAGUCUCCGGAGGAGCAAGUGGCCAAAUAAGGGACUAGACCUUGGUGGCUAGCAUUGGAAUGUAAGCUAACUCUUUUUUUUUUUUUUUUUUUGCAAGACAGAGGGGAUGGGGGCCUUGCUCGCCAUACUCAGACCUGUUGAGGCCCUUCAGACAUCCAGCCUGUAUGUCUGAACAGACAUUGAGCUGUCUGAACCCUGUCAUGCUGGGGUGGCCUUUGGUGAUACAGCUGUUUUUGAGCCAUUUCUCCUUCUGUAAGAAACCACAAUAAAACUCAAAACUUG